Molecule: ribosomal RNA, 253 nt
Filed under: uncultured bacterium
Lineage: Bacteria
Description: partial 16S ribosomal RNA
Rfam family: Bacterial small subunit ribosomal RNA
Source: RNAcentral
UACGUAGGUGGCGAGCGUUGUCCGGAUUUACUGGGCGUAAAGGGAGCGUAGGCGGAUUUUUAAGUGAGAUGUGAAAUACUCGGGCUCAACUUGAGUGCUGCAUUUCAAACUGGAAGUCUAGAGUGCAGGAGAGGAGAAUGGAAUUCCUAGUGUAGCGGUGAAAUGCGUAGAGAUUAGGAAGAGCACCAGUGGCGAAGGCGAUUCUCUGGACUGUAACUGACGCUGAGGCUCGAAAGCGUGGGGAGCAAACAGG